AACGAACGCUGGCGGCAUGCCUAACACAUGCAAGUCGAACGAGACCUUCGGGUCUAGUGGCGCACGGGUGCGUAACGCGUGGGAACCUGCCCUUAGGUUCGGAAUAACUCCCCGAAAGGGGUGCUAAUACCGGAUAAUGUCUUCGGACCAAAGAUUUAUCGCCUUUGGAUGGGCCCGCGUUGGAUUAGCUAGUUGGUAGGGUAAAAGCCUACCAAGGCGACGAUCCAUAGCUGGUCUGAGAGGAUGAGCAGCCACACUGGGACUGAGACACGGCCCAGACUCCUACGGGAGGCAGCAGUGGGGAAUAUUGGACAAUGGGCGAAAGCCUGAUCCAGCAAUGCCGCGUGAGUGAUGAAGUCCUUAGGGUUGUAAAGCUCUUUUACCCGGGAUGAUAAUGACAGUACCGGGAGAAUAAGCUCCGGCUAACUCCGUG
Molecule: ribosomal RNA, 433 nt
Filed under: uncultured bacterium
Lineage: Bacteria
Description: partial 16S ribosomal RNA
Rfam family: Bacterial small subunit ribosomal RNA
Source: RNAcentral